UACUCCGCCUGUUUUUCAAAAACAUGUCUUUAUGAAAGUGGAUAUAAAGUCGUGCCUGCUCACUGAUUUUAUUUAAGAGCCGCGGUAAUUUGACCGUGCAAAGGUAGCAUAAUAAUUAGUCUUUUAAUUGGGGACUGGAAUGAAAGGUUUGAUGAAAUAACAACUGUCUUUUGUUGAUAAUUUGAAUUUUAUUAUUAAGUUAAAAAGCUUAAAUGAAAAUAAGGGACGAGAAGACCCUAUAGAUCUUUAUAAUGAGUAAUUUAGGAUAUGUUUUGGAAGAUAAUACCUGAGUUAUUAAAUUAUUUAGUUGGGGUGACUGGGAAAUAAUGUAACUUUUUUUAUAUUUGUACUUUGAUAAGAGGAAUUUUGAUCCUUUAAUAUGGAUUAUAAGAUUAAGAUACCUUAGGGAUAACAGCAUAAUUUUAUUUGAAAGUUCAUAUUGACAAUAAAGAUUAUGACCUCGAUGUUGGAUUAAGAUUAAGAAUUGGUGCAGAAGUUAAUUUGAUUAGUCUGUUCGACCAUUAAAUUCUUACCGUGGA
This 539-nucleotide ribosomal RNA is filed under the name Oecanthus pictus. RNAcentral describes it as "partial large subunit ribosomal RNA". It matches the Rfam family "Bacterial large subunit ribosomal RNA", at positions 1793 to 2604 of the family's 2925-position model. The record is from RNAcentral. Lineage: Eukaryota; Metazoa; Arthropoda; Insecta; Orthoptera; Gryllidae.